GUCCCUAUCGUCUAGAGGCCUGGACAUCGCCCUUUCACGGCGGUAACCGGGGUUCGAAUCCCCGUAGGGACGCCA
Molecule: transfer RNA, 75 nt
Filed under: Acinetobacter baumannii 1036938
Lineage: Bacteria; Pseudomonadati; Pseudomonadota; Gammaproteobacteria; Moraxellales; Moraxellaceae
Description: tRNA-Glu
Rfam family: tRNA
About the family: Transfer RNA (tRNA) molecules are approximately 80 nucleotides in length.
Source: RNAcentral